GUAGGGGGCGAGCGUUGUCCGGAAUGACUGGGCGUAAAGGGUGUGUAGGUGGUUUGAUAAGUUAGAUGUGUAAUACCCGGGCUUAACUCGGGUGCUGCAUCUAAAACUGUUAGACUUGAGUACUGGAGAGGAUAGUGGAAUUCCUAGUGUAGCGGUGGAAUGCGUAGAUAUUAGGAGGAACAUCAGUGGCGAAGGCGACUAUCUGGACAGCAACUGACACUGAGGCACGAAAGCGUGGGGAGCAAACAGGAUUAGAUACCCUGGUAGUCCACGCUGUAAACGAUGGAUACUAGAUGCAGGAGGUAUUCACUCCUUCUGUGUCGCAGCUAACGCAAUAAGUAUCCCGCCUGGGGAGU
Molecule: ribosomal RNA, 356 nt
Filed under: uncultured bacterium
Lineage: Bacteria
Description: bacterial SSU rRNA
Rfam family: Bacterial small subunit ribosomal RNA
Source: RNAcentral